GACGAACGCUGGCGGCGUGCCUAAUACAUGCAAGUAGAACGCUGAAGGACUAGCUUGCUUCUCCGGAUGAGUCGCGAACGUGUGUGUAACGCGUAGGUAACCUGCCUGGUAGUGGGGUAUAACUAUUGGAAACGAUAUCUAAUACCGCAUAACAGUACAUAAGGCAUGAUAUUUGCUUGAUAGGUGCAAUUGCAGGAUUACCAGAUGGACUUUCGUUUUAUUAGUUAGUUGGUGAGGUAACGGCUCACCAAGGCGACGAUACAUAGCCGACCUGAGAGGGUGAUCGGCCACACUGGGACUGAGACACGGCCCAGACUCCUACGGGAGGCAGCAGUAGGGAAUCUUCGGCAAGGGACGGAAGUCUGACCGAGCAACGCCGCGUGAGUGAAGAAGGUUUUCGGAUCGUAAAGCUCGGUUGUAAGAGAAGAACGAGUGUGAGAGUGGAAAGUUCACACUGUGACGGUAUCUGACCAGAAAGGGACGGCUAACUACGUG
Molecule: ribosomal RNA, 495 nt
Filed under: uncultured bacterium
Lineage: Bacteria
Description: partial 16S ribosomal RNA
Rfam family: Bacterial small subunit ribosomal RNA
Source: RNAcentral